GGGGAAUUUUCCGCAAUGGGCGAAAGCCUGACGGAGCAAGACCGCGUGGGGGAAGAAGGCUCUUGGGUUGUAAACCCCUUUUCUCUGGGAAGAAAGUUGUGAAAGCAGCCUGACGGUACCAGAGGAAUCAGCAUCGGCUAACUCCGUGCCAGCAGCCGCGGUAAGACGGAGGAUGCAAGCGUUAUCCGGAAUGAUUGGGCGUAAAGCGUCCGCAGGUGGCAGUUCAAGUCUGCUGUCAAAGACCGGGGCUCAACCUCGGAAAGGCAGUGGAAACUGAACAGCUAGAGUAUGGUAGGGGCAAAGGGAAUUCCUGGUGUAGCGGUGAAAUGCGUAGAGAUCAGGAAGAACAUCGGUGGCGAAGGCGCUUUGCUGGACCAUAACUGACACUCAGGGACGAAAGCUAGGGGAGCGAAAGGGAUUAGAUAC
RNAcentral lists this ribosomal RNA (426 nucleotides) under uncultured cyanobacterium. Its description in RNAcentral is "bacterial SSU rRNA". It matches the Rfam family "Bacterial small subunit ribosomal RNA", at positions 356 to 785 of the family's 1533-position model. The record is from RNAcentral. Lineage: Bacteria; Bacillati; Cyanobacteriota.